RNAcentral lists this long non-coding RNA (360 nucleotides) under Lathyrus oleraceus (garden pea). RNAcentral's name for it is "Pisum sativum (pea) long non-coding RNA (PSAT_LNC009192)". Lineage: Eukaryota; Viridiplantae; Streptophyta; Magnoliopsida; Fabales; Fabaceae. The record is from RNAcentral.
GGUCCUGACAUGGGUGCUGCUGCAGAUGAUGAUGCUCCUACUGGUGGAAGUGGUGCUGGCCCUAAGAUUGAGGAAGUCGACUAAGUGUAGUUUCUUUCAUCCUAACUAUGAUUUAUAUUUUCAAGUUAUAUUUAAUUUGAUGCAUUUGCCGCUUAUAUUGUUUGCUUUUAGCUGGUUUUUGGAGCUAUUUAGGCUACUUCGUUAUGUUGUACUGUUAAGGAUUGUGUUAUUGUUAUUGCAAUUUUCAUAUACAUUGGGUUUCUUUUUGUUCUGAGGAGCCGUGCUAAAAUUUGUGUGGAGAUUUUUCGUAAAAAAAACUCAACUCUUAGAAGUCGAUAGAUUUCACCAGUCUACUCCUCU